RNAcentral lists this ribosomal RNA (491 nucleotides) under uncultured bacterium. RNAcentral describes it as "partial 16S ribosomal RNA". It matches the Rfam family "Bacterial small subunit ribosomal RNA", at positions 29 to 506 of the family's 1533-position model. The record is from RNAcentral.
AGUGAACGCUGGCGGUAGGCCUAACACAUGCAAGUCGAACGGCAGCACAGUAAGAGCUUGCUCUUACGGGUGGCGAGUGGCGGACGGGUGAGGAAUACAUCGGAAUCUACUUUUUCGUGGGGGAUAACGUAGGGAAACUUACGCUAAUACCGCAUACGACCUACGGGUGAAAGCAGGGGAUCUUCGGACCUUGCGCGAUUGAAUGAGCCGAUGUCGGAUUAGCUAGUUGGCGGGGUAAAGGCCCGCCAAGGCGACGAUCCGUAGCUGGUCUGAGAGGAUGAUCAGCCACACUGGAAAUGAGACACGGGCCAGACUCAUACGGGAGGCAGCAGUGGGGAAUAUUGGAAAAUGGGCGCAAGCCUGAUCCAGCCAUACCGCGGGGGGGAAGAAGGCCUUCGGGUUGUAAAGCCCUUUUGUUGGGAAAGAAAAGCAGCAGGUUAAAACCCCGCUGUUCUGACGGUACCAAAAGAAAAAGCACCGGCUAACUUCGU